RNAcentral lists this ribosomal RNA (390 nucleotides) under uncultured bacterium. RNAcentral describes it as "bacterial SSU rRNA". It matches the Rfam family "Bacterial small subunit ribosomal RNA", at positions 28 to 417 of the family's 1533-position model. The record is from RNAcentral.
GACGAACGCUGGCGGCGUGCUUAACACAUGCAAGUCGAGCGGUAAGGCCCUUUCGGGGGUACGACGAGCGGCGAACGGGUGAGUAACACGUGGGUGACCUGCCCUCAGCUCUGGGAUAAGCCUGGGAAACCGGGUACUAAUACCGGAUAUGACUCCAUGACGCAUGUUGUGGGGUGGAAAGCCUUGUGCGGCUGAGGAUGGGCCCGCGGCCUAUCACCUUGUUGGUGGGGUGAUGGCCUACCAAGGCGACGACGGGUAGCCGGCCUGAGAGGGCGACCGGCCACACUGGGACUGAGACACGGCCCAGACUCCUACGGGAGGCAGCAGUGGGGAAUCUUGCGCAAUGGGCGAAAGCCUGACGCAGCGACGCCGCGUGAGGGAUGACGGCCU